GAUGAACGCUAGCGACAGGCUUAACACAUGCAAGUCGAGGGGCAGCGGGGAUGAAGCUUGCUUUAUCUGCCGGCGACCGGCGCACGGGUGAGUAACACGUAUGCAACCUACCCUAUGCAGGGGAAUAACCACGGGAAACCGUGCCUAAUACCGCGUAACGCACUGAUUGGGCAUCCGAUUGGUGUCAAAGGAGCAAUCCGGCAUAGGAUGGGCAUGCGGCGCAUUAGCUAGUUGGCGGGGUAACGGCCCACCAAGGCGACGAUGUCUAGGGGUUCUGAGAGGAAGGUCCCCCACACUGGAACUGAGACACGGUCCAGACUCCUACGGGAGGCAGCAGUGAGGAAUAUUGGUCAAUGGUCUGACGACUGAACCAGCCAUGCCGCGUGAAGGUCACGGCCCUAUGGGUCUUAAACUUCUUUUGCAAGGGAGCAAUAAGCCUCACGUGUGGGGCGAUGAGAGUACCUUGCGAAUAAGCAUCGG
Molecule: ribosomal RNA, 480 nt
Filed under: uncultured bacterium
Lineage: Bacteria
Description: bacterial SSU rRNA
Rfam family: Bacterial small subunit ribosomal RNA
Source: RNAcentral